GCUGAGCGUGGUGGUGCACGCCUGUAGUCCCAGCUACUCGGGAGGCUGAGGCAGGAGAAUCACUUGAACCUGGGAGGCAGAGGUUGCAGUGAGCCAAGAUUGUGCCACUGCACUCCAUCCUGGGUGACAGAGUGAGACUCUGUCUCAA
RNAcentral lists this non-coding RNA (148 nucleotides) under Homo sapiens (human). Lineage: Eukaryota; Metazoa; Chordata; Mammalia; Primates; Hominidae. The record is from Rfam by way of RNAcentral.